RNAcentral lists this ribosomal RNA (490 nucleotides) under uncultured bacterium. Its description in RNAcentral is "partial 16S ribosomal RNA". It matches the Rfam family "Bacterial small subunit ribosomal RNA", at positions 29 to 507 of the family's 1533-position model. The record is from RNAcentral.
AGUGAACGCUGGCGGUAGGCCUAACACAUGCAAGUCGAACGGCAGCACAGGAGAGCUUGCUCUCUGGGUGGCGAGUGGCGGACGGGUGAGGAAUACAUCGGAAUCUGCCCAGUCGUGGGGGAUAACGUAGGGAAACUUACGCUAAUACCGCAUACGACCUUCGGGUGAAAGAGGGGGAUCGCAAGACCUCUCGCGAUUGGAUGAGCCGAUGUCGGAUUAGCUAGUUGGCGGGGUAAUGGCCCACCAAGGCGACGAUCCGUAGCUGGUCUGAGAGGAUGAUCAGCCACACUGGAACUGAGACACGGUCCAGACUCCUACGGGAGGCAGCAGUGGGGAAUAUUGGACAAUGGGCGCAAGCCUGAUCCAGCCGUACCGCGUGGGUGAAGAAGGCCUUCGGGUUGUAAAGCCCUUUUGUUGGGAAAGAAAUCUUUCAGGCUAAUACCCUGGGAGGAUGACGGUACCCAAAGAAUAAGCACCGGCUAACUUCGUG